RNAcentral lists this ribosomal RNA (460 nucleotides) under uncultured bacterium. RNAcentral describes it as "partial 16S ribosomal RNA". It matches the Rfam family "Bacterial small subunit ribosomal RNA", at positions 338 to 795 of the family's 1533-position model. The record is from RNAcentral.
CCUACGGGUGGCAGCAGUGAGGAAUAUUGGUCAAUGGACGAGAGUCUGAACCAGCCAAGUAGCGUGAAGGAUGACUGCCCUAUGGGUUGUAAACUUCUUUUAUAAAGGAAUAAAACGAGGCACGUGUGCCUUUUUGCAUGUACUUUAUGAAUAAGGAUCGGCUAACUCCGUGCCAGCAGCCGCGGUAAUACGGAGGAUCCGAGAGUUAUCCGGAUUUAUUGGGUUUAAAGGGAGCGUAGAUGGGUUGUUAAGUCAGGUGUGAAAGUUUGCGGCUCAACCGUAAAAUUGCAAUUGAUACUGACAGUCUGGAGUGCAGUAGAGGUAGGCGGAAUUCGUAGUGUAGCGGUGAAAUGCUUAGAUAUCACGAAGAACCCCGAUUGCGAAGGCAGCUUACUAAACUGUGACUGACGUUGAUGCUCGAAAGUGUGGGUAUCAAACAGGAUUAGAUACCCUUGUAGUC